AGAGUUUGAUCAUGGCUCAGGAUGAACGCUAGCGGCAGGCCUAACACAUGCAAGUCGAGGGGUAACAUAGGAAAGCUUGCUUUUCUGAUGACGACCGGCGCACGGGUGCGUAACGCGUAUACAACCUACCUUUUAGCGGGGAAUAGCCCAGGGAAACUUGGAUUAAUGCCCCAUAGUAUGGAGAUCUCUCCUGAGAUUUUCAUUAAACAUUUAUGGCUAUUAGAUGGGUAUGCGUCCUAUUAGUUAGUUGGUAAGGUAACGGCUUACCAAGGCAGCGAUAGGUAGGGGUCCUGAGAGGGAGAUCCCCCACACUGGUACUGAGACACGGACCAGACUCCUACGGGAGGCAGCAGUGAGGAAUAUUGGACAAUGGGCGAGAGCCUGAUCCAGCCAUGCCGCGUGCAGGAAGACUGCCCUAUGGGUUGUAAACUGCUUUUACAGAGGAAGAACCACUCCCACGUGUGGGAGUUUGACGGUACUCUGCGAAUAAGGAUCGGCUAACUCCGUGCCAGCAGCCGCGGUAAUACGGAGGAUCCAAGCGUUAUCCGGAAUCAUUGGGUUUAAAGGGUCCGUAGGCGGGCAGUUAAGUCAGUGGUGAAAGUCUUCCGCUCAACGGGAGAACUGCCAUUGAUACUGAUUGUCUUGAGUUAUUAUGAAGUGGUUAGAAUGAGUAGUGUAGCGGUGAAAUGCAUAGAUAUUACUCAGAAUACCGAUUGCGAAGGCAGAUCACUAAUAAUAUACUGACGCUGAUGGACGAAAGCGUAGGUAGCGAACAGGAUUAGAUACCCUGGUAGUCUACGCCGUAAACGAUGGUUACUAGCUGUUCGGCCCGAUUAAGGGCUGAGUGGUUAAGCGAAAGUGAUAAGUAACCCACCUGGGGAGUACGUUCGCAAGAAUGAAACUCAAAGGAAUUGACGGGGGCCCGCACAAGCGGUGGAGCAUGUGGUUUAAUUUCGAUGAUACGCGAGGAACCUUACCAGGGCUUAAAUGUAGUCUGACAGGGCUGGAAACAGCUUUUUUCUUCGGACAGAUUACAAAGGUGGCUGCAUGGU
This 1052-nucleotide ribosomal RNA is filed under the name uncultured bacterium. RNAcentral describes it as "bacterial SSU rRNA". It matches the Rfam family "Bacterial small subunit ribosomal RNA", at positions 8 to 1049 of the family's 1533-position model. The record is from RNAcentral.